RNAcentral lists this non-coding RNA (109 nucleotides) under Lotharella globosa. The record is from RNAcentral. Lineage: Eukaryota; Cercozoa; Chlorarachniophyceae.
UCGCAAGCGGCAAGCUUCUGGAUCACCGUUUGGACAGAAAACAUGCUCGGCGACGGGUUCUCCGUGGAGUUUUACCUCGGCAUCUACGUGGCAUGGACCAUGGCGCAGA